UGUGUUCCGGCGGAAGUGACGCAGACAAACAGUUUUAGGAGUUGCUGUGGAUAUUCGAAGAGACGCGCUAAACACAAACAACAGAUGAAAAUCAUCAUUAAUGUCUUCAUUUAGAUCAAAACAAAUGACAUGGCUUCAAAAUCUGACCCACUGCUUAUUGUUGUGUCCAUACUAGAAGGUCAUCAGUUUCCCAGGAGACCUCGGCAGACUUUAGUUGUGGAGGCUCGGUUUGAUGGAGAAACUCUGUCCACAGAUCCAGUAGAACACAUUGAACAACCACAGUUCUGUACUGAGCUGGCCUGGGAGCUGGACCGCAAGACACUUCACCAGCACAGACUCCAGAGGACCCCCAUCAAACUGCAGUGUUACGCGGUCGAUUCUGGCACGUCUGCAAGGGAAUGUGUGGGAUAUAUUGUUCUUGAUCUAAGAUCAGUUCAAGAGAUCAAACAGGCUCCUAAAUGGCAUCCAUUGCUUAGCAGCAAGUACACAAAAGUAAAACCUGCUCUGCUGAUCGGCGUGAUUCUAGAGAACGACAUCAAACAGACACCUGAGCAGUUCAAAGCCAAGAAAGCUCCUCCGAGAGAAAGUUCUCCAGCACGUCUUCCUCUCGAUACAGGUGAACUCAGAGCAGUUUUAAAUGCAGAUGAAGGUUAUCAUCAGAUUGGACCUGAAGAUCUCUGCGCCGACAUGUUUGUGUUGUCGGUAACGGUCGCUUUUGCUACACGACUGGAGCAGUUGAUCUCCAGCUCAGUGAAGGCUUUAUCUGAUGCUUCAGAGUUCUCAUUUUAUUACAACCUCCUGGGAAACGAUGUCACCAGCGAACCUUUCCAGAACCUCCUCAGUCCAAACUUCGAGCCUGAACGGGCCUCCGUACGCAUCCGCAGCAGUGAUCGUGUUUUGCGGCUCUUUCUCUCUCAGCAACCCAGUAUCCGGAUUCAUCUGUGCUGUGGGAAUCGUUCACUGGGCAGCACUGAGAUCAGUCUUGCUGGAUUAUUAAAGAGCAGCACGGAUCUGACUCGACGUUCGGCUACUAUAGAGGGAGCUUUCAUCCUGCAGCCUCCCAAUCGGGCAAAACCGAAUCUGCAGUCUGUCCCACCGGACCUCCAGCCCACAGUGGGUGUGUCUGUGACACUGAGAGCAGAAGACGUCAAUAAUCAGGUUGAUGCACCUGUUGAAAACGAGCCUAAAACUCCAGUGAAGAAAAGUCUCGUCCCAGACGCCCAUCAUGGACGUCCUCCGGUCCUGCAACAUCGAGCACAAACCCCAUCACCUGUCAGGAAAUCACCUGAUCUCCAUCUCAGAUUACCAGCAGCGUCUCCCGAGAGCUCCCAGAGUGAGGCGGAGACUCUGUCCAGUGAUGUCAGACAGGCCCCGCCCACUGUCCUUGAUGUGUCUGCGCCUGUUACUCCCGCUGCCACACGUGAGCCUGAAGCCGACACGUCAGUCUCAGUUUCUGCUCCAAAGAUCUCUGUUCCUGCCUCUGCGCGUCACUACUGCUUCUCUCUGGACCUGAGGAGCAUCCGAGAUCUCAGGACGAGCGUCCCGGUCAACUGCGUCCUCAGAUACUCUUAUCAGUUCUUCGGCAGCGCAGCUCCCAUCAUGACGAGUCCAGCGGUGGAGCUGAGGAGGAACACUGAGGUCUUUCUGCCACAGUCUUACUGCGCUUUUGAUUUUGCCGCUCUGCCCAAUCAGCUUCAUGAAACCUUUCUCAGGGUUCCUCUGCUGGUGGAGAUGUGGCACAAAGACUCAAACUCUUCAGAUCGUCUGCUAGGUUCUGUCAAUAUUCAGUUGUCUGAACUCCUCGGCUCUGAGAAGACUCGUUUCCUCGACCCAUCAGGCAGGCAGCAGUGUAGACAGACUGUUUCAGAGAGGGUCCCCAUCAUUGCAGCACAUGGGUCUGAGAAAUUGGCUGAACUUUCUUACGUGGCUGUUUUAGAAGAUUUGGGUUUGGUGAACGCUCAAGAUAUUGUCAUCUCUGAACCGUUACAGGAGCAGCAGAGGUCAGCAGCUCCUCCCCUUCGGGGUCAGACGGAUUUGGAAACGCUGACACGACCUCGAGAGACUCUGGAGUACAAGGCAGCGUUGGAGCUGGAAAUGUGGAAGGAGAUGCAGGAAGAUCUGUUCGAUAAUCAGCUGAAACAGAAGGAGUUGAGUCACAUGCAGGCAUUGGCUGAGGAGUGGAGAAGAAGAGAUCAUCAGAGAGAAGCUCUUAUCAAGAAGAAGGAGCUGGAGUACGAUCUACUAGAGCAACAGCUACAGAAGACUCUGUCUGAUCUGGAGAAGAGAGAGAAAGCACUCGCUCAUGCUGAGAUGGAGACGCAGACGCUGCAGCGAGAGAUGCGAGCCGAGCACGAGGUGAAGGCGCGAGAGCUGCAGGACAGCGGACGACGACUGCGUGAGGACUGCGCGCACCAGGUGGAGCUAGAGAGGUCAAAGGUCAGACAGCUGGAGGAUCAACUGAAACGACAGCAACAGCAGAUAAAAGAAUCAGAAGUGAAGUACAAGCAGCUGGAGCGAGAGUUUGUUCAGUACAGAGAGCAGCAGAGCACUCGUCCAGAGAUUCGUCUUCAGUCUGAGAUUAAUCUCUUGAGUCUUGAGAAGGUGGAGCUGGAACGAAAGCUGGAAUCUGCAACAAAAUCCAAACUUCAUUACAAGCAGCAGUGGGGACGAGCGCUGAAAGAGUUAGCCAGAUUUAAACAGCAAAUAUUUGAGCAGAAGUCAAGGCUUCAUCUUACGAGAGCAGGAGAACGCAAUGACACGCUUGAAGAAACAGCAGCAGGAACUGGAGCACAUGCGCUUACGCUUUCUGGCCGCUGAAGAGAAAGAAGCCGUCAAACACGAGAAACAAGAACUUCAGGAGAUCCACAACCAACUGAACAGACUGAAGCAGGUGGAGGAAUCGAGCAGACGCACUGAAGCGUCGUCCGUCUGUCUGAAUGACAUCACAGAUGAACACGUGACCCGUCUGCUGGAGGAGAGAGAUGCGUUACUGAGGACCGGUGUCUACACACACACAGACAAAAUCAUUUCUGAACUCAACAGACAGAUUCAAGAAGCCAUGAGCAACAGAAGAGAUCAUUGAGAGAUGAGCAUUAAAAACACAUCAGUUGUG
This is an RNA transcript of Misgurnus anguillicaudatus (oriental weatherfish), 3112 nucleotides long. It is a transcript of the gene named centrosomal protein 120, with no coding region annotated. The record is from RefSeq and is a predicted model, not a curated record. Lineage: Eukaryota; Metazoa; Chordata; Actinopteri; Cypriniformes; Cobitidae.